Molecule: ribosomal RNA, 427 nt
Filed under: uncultured Methylococcaceae bacterium
Lineage: Bacteria; Pseudomonadati; Pseudomonadota; Gammaproteobacteria; Methylococcales; Methylococcaceae
Description: partial 16S ribosomal RNA
Rfam family: Bacterial small subunit ribosomal RNA
Source: RNAcentral
UGGGGAAUAUUGGACAAUGGGCGCAAGCCUGAUCCAGCAAUGCCGCGUGUGUGAAGAAGGCCUGCGGGUUGUAAAGCACUUUAAGCCGGAAAGAAGGGCAGAGUGAUAACACCGCUCUGCAUUGACGUUACCGGCAGAAUAAGCACCGGCUAACUCCGUGCCAGCAGCCGCGGUAAUACGGAGGGUGCAAGCGUUAAUCGGAAUUACUGGGCGUAAAGCGCGCGUAGGCGGUUCACUCAGUCUGCUGUGAAAGCCCCGGGCUUAACCUGGGAACGGCAGUGGAUACUGGUGGGCUAGAGUAUGGUAGAGGGGAGUGGAAUUUCCGGUGUAGCAGUGAAAUGCGUAGAGAUCGGAAGGAACACCAGUGGCGAAGGCGGCUCUCUGGACCAAUACUGACGCUGAGGUGCGAAAGCGUGGGGAGCAAACA